AGUUAAUGGGGCUAAAAGUGGGGAUUGAAAACAGAAUGCCUGUAAAUAUAUCCUAAUGUUGUAACAAAUGAAAGAGCACUGAAAAAGAAUAUAAAUGACUUUAAUCGAGAGUGUUUUUCGGUUCGAUUGAUGAGAAAAUUGGUGAAAAGUUGUUUUAAAGUUAUGGUGUCAGAAACUUGGGACAUCGAAAUUCAAUUGUCAUUAUUUUUUAUUAUAUAUAAAGAUUUUAAAUUCUGGACAGUUCUUAAAUUUUUUAUAUGACCAUAUCUUUCAAGUACUUAAACGCGUAUAAUAAAUACCUUUGAAAUGAAAAAUCUCUUAAAUUAUCCAUGCUUAUGCUAUUUAGAUCACGAAAUCAUUUGUGUAUGUGGGGUUUUCUAGCUUUUGUUUCGCUGAAAUUGUGAUUUAGCGUGACAAAGGAAGGGGUAAAAAACGGUAAAAUUAAAUUCAGCGUGACGUAUUUUAUGGACGCCCCUUAUUAAAUUUUUUAUAAAAUGUCUCAAAUUGUAUUUAAUGUAUUGAGUUAAAAAACUUCUUGUCAUGGUUUACUUAUACAAUUUUUGGGUACUUUAAAAAAGGUUUUUGUUAUUAUGAAUAACUUUAACCUGUUUAUGUAAUUAUUGUAUUAUUAUUUUUUCUGAAAUACCUAUAUUCUAAGAAGUAGUUCGAGUACCCAUAUGUUCUUGUCAAAUGCAUUUAGUAAUCUGUAUUUAUUCCAAUAUUUUUUUUUUAAUAAAAUAAUUUACAGGUUUUGAAUGUAGUGUUUGUAAUUUUAAUUAAACAAUUUAUAAAAUGGUGUAUGACAGUUGCAAAUUAUUUUUUGGCAAAUAAAAAAGAGCGCAAAAUAAAUUAUUAAUAAAUUAUUAAAAAGUGUUCUGUAUUUUUCGUAAAUCAUAUUUGUAUAAGUUUAUCGGAACCUUGUUAUUAGCAUUUGUAAUAAAAUUUACUAUAUUUUAAUCAA
Molecule: unclassified non-coding RNA, 961 nt
Filed under: Melitaea cinxia (Glanville fritillary)
Lineage: Eukaryota; Metazoa; Arthropoda; Insecta; Lepidoptera; Nymphalidae
Description: misc RNA ENSMCXG00005016586.1
Source: RNAcentral